RNAcentral lists this ribosomal RNA (218 nucleotides) under uncultured bacterium. RNAcentral's name for it is "partial 16S ribosomal RNA". It matches the Rfam family "Bacterial small subunit ribosomal RNA", at positions 120 to 334 of the family's 1533-position model. The record is from RNAcentral.
CGAAAUCUACCCUUCCGUCCCGGGAUAACUAGCCGAAAGGUUAGCUAAUCCCAGAUACGCUCAUCGAGCGGCAUCGUUUGAUGAUGAAAGCAGCAAUGCGCGGAUUGAGGAGCCUGCGGCCCAUUAGCUAGUUGGCGAGGGUAACGGCCCACCAAGGCAACGAUGGGUAGCUGGUCUGAGAGGACGACCAGCCACACUGGGACUGAGACACGGCCCAG